GGGAAGUGUGCAAUUUUCCGUGGAGGAUACAAUAGAGACCGUAACACAACACCAGUCGCCGGUCGGCGUUUGACAGACGAACUGAAAAAUAACCAAUCGACGAGAUGGCCAAAACGAAGCAUCAAAAAUCCAAACCUAACAAACAACCUCAUGCUAAAAAGCAUGGAAAGCAGGCUGAUAUUUCUGAAUUUCGAGCUCAGCUUGAUGCAUUGGGCUUAAAGAUUAUACAAGUGAC
RNAcentral lists this unclassified non-coding RNA (235 nucleotides) under Hevea brasiliensis (rubber tree). The record is from RNAcentral. Lineage: Eukaryota; Viridiplantae; Streptophyta; Magnoliopsida; Malpighiales; Euphorbiaceae.